Molecule: ribosomal RNA, 843 nt
Filed under: uncultured bacterium
Lineage: Bacteria
Description: bacterial SSU rRNA
Rfam family: Bacterial small subunit ribosomal RNA
Source: RNAcentral
AGCGAACGCUGGCGGCAUGCUUAACACAUGCAAGUCUCACGGGCAGCAAUGUCAGUGGCGGACGGGUGAGUAACGCGUAGGUACUACCCUCAGGACUGGAUAGCCACGGGAAACUGUGGGUAAUACCAGAUAAUGUCUCCGGACCAAAGGUGUGAUUCCGCCGGAGGAGGGGCCUACGUCCUAUUAGCUUGUUGGCAGGGUAACGGCCUACCAAGGCAUUGAUGGGUAUGGGGUGUGAGAGCAUGCCCCCACUCACUGGGACUGAGACACUGCCCAGACACCUACGGGUGGCUGCAGUCGAGGAUCUUCGGCAAUGGGCGCAAGCCUGACCGAGCGACGCCGCGUGCGGGAUGAAGGCCUUCGGGUUGUAAACCGCUGUCAGAGGGGAGGAAAUUCCGGUGGGUUCUCCCAUCGGUUUGACCUAUCUUCAGAGGAAGUACGGGCUAAGUUCGUGCCAGCAGCCGCGGUAAGACGAACCGUACAAACGUUAUUCGGAAUCACUGGGCUUAAAGGGUGCGUAGGCGGCCCGGAAAGUUGGGUGUGAAAGCCCUCGGCUCAACCGAGGAACUGCGCCCAAAACUACCGGGCUCGAGGAAGAUAGAGGUGAGCGGAACUUAGGGUGGAGCGGUGAAAUGCGUUGAUAUCCUAAGGAACACCAGUGCGAAAGCGGCUCACUGGGUCUUUUCUGACGUUGAGGCACGAAAGCUAGGGGAGCGAAGAGGAUUAGAUACCCUCGUAGUCCUAGCUGUAAACGAUGAGCAAUGGGUUGGAGGGUCCUCCAUAGCCCUCUAGCCGUAGCGAAAGCGUUAAGUGCUCCGCCUGGGGAGUAUGGUCGCAAAGCUG